GAGUAUCAUGGGGGUCUUGUACAGAGUUUAGUGAGUAUCAUGGGAGGGGGGGUUAUGUGUAAAGUGGGAUUGGUGUAGGUCUUGUACAGAGUUUAGUGAGAA
Molecule: long non-coding RNA, 102 nt
Organism: Xenia sp. Carnegie-2017
Lineage: Eukaryota; Metazoa; Cnidaria; Anthozoa; Malacalcyonacea; Xeniidae
Exons: 3
Source: RefSeq, a predicted model, not a curated record